UAAUACGUAGGGGGCAAGCGUUGUCCGGAUUUAUUGGGCGUAAAGAGCGUGUAGGCGGCCAGACAGGUCCGUUGUGAAAACUCGAGGCUUAACCUCGAGACGUCGAUGGAAACCGUCUGGCUAGAGUCCGGAAGAGGAGACUGGAAUUCCUGGUGUAGCGGUGAAAUGCGCAGAUAUCAGGAAGAACACCCAUGGCGAAGGCAGGUCUCUGGGACGGUACUGACGCUGAGACGCGAAAGCGUGGGGAGCGAACAGGAUUAGAUACCCUGGUAGUCCACGCCGUAAACGAUGGAUGCUAGGUGUGGGCGGUGUCGACUCCGUCCGUGCCGAAGCUAACGCAUUAAGCAUCCCGCCUGGGGAGUACGGCCGCAAGGCUAAAACUCAAAGGAAUUGACGG
This 397-nucleotide ribosomal RNA is filed under the name uncultured bacterium. RNAcentral describes it as "bacterial SSU rRNA". It matches the Rfam family "Bacterial small subunit ribosomal RNA", at positions 521 to 916 of the family's 1533-position model. The record is from RNAcentral.